ACCCAAAGGUCGCGCAUAUGUUUUCAGGUCGGCCGCCAUUUUGAAAUUUGUGAAAACAAGAGGAUACACAAUAUCGUCAAAAAUCAAUAUAACUGUUGAUUCAAAAGCAUGGAAACGAUUAAAAAUGAAAUGAUUGUUUAAUCAUAACAUGUGGUGAGACUGAUCAUUGAUAAGUGACCUGAUGGUCGACCGGACAAUAAAUUAUCAAGUGCUGUUUUCAUAUUGGAGGAGAUGAUUGCAUGUACGGGCACUGGGCUAGGAAAAUCAAACCCUGGCGAUUAAACACUGACUACUCUAAAACCCGAUGAAAGUGGAAGACCUGAAAGACUAAGUGACAAUGUGGUGUAAAAAGAAGUAUGGUGCAGCCAACUGAUGCUAGGCGGAAUCUGGCAAUAACAGAAAGAAUUGGAUAUAUGCCAAUAAGUUUGCCAAAAAGGGAAUAAAUAUUCAGUAAAAAUGACUUCAGUGUAUACUUCUCUAGUGUUAAACGGCAGUUGCAUUUAAUGGAAUAAUUCUUAUUUUGAAUUUUAUAUAUAUUUAGCAGAUUAGAAAGCUUCAAAGGUAUUUCUAUCAUUCGUUUCUAAUUUGUCAUGUAAAAGUCAUUUUCAUGUUAUUAUUUUGAAUUCUGUGAAUUAAAUAAUUUACAAAGAA
Long non-coding RNA from Mercenaria mercenaria, 651 nucleotides. RefSeq lists it as uncharacterized. The record is from RefSeq and is a predicted model, not a curated record. NCBI's taxonomy places the organism in Eukaryota, Metazoa, Mollusca, Bivalvia, Venerida, Veneridae. The transcript is spliced from 3 exons.